Molecule: small nucleolar RNA, 121 nt
Filed under: Echinops telfairi (small Madagascar hedgehog)
Lineage: Eukaryota; Metazoa; Chordata; Mammalia; Afrosoricida; Tenrecidae
Description: Small nucleolar RNA SNORA61 (ENSETEG00000025046.1)
Source: RNAcentral
ACCCUCCAGAUUCCUUACCCUUUGGAUCUAAAUAUUGGCCUGAGUGGCUGAAAAAGGAGUAAAACUAAAACUGAAGUGGACUUGGAGUCUCUAGUAACAGCCAAGUUCAUUGCAAACAUAU